CAAAAGCUCUCAAAGCCCAAGAAAGUGCAAAAACAAAAGAAAAAGAAAAAAAUGAUGAAUCGAGAAAAAUAAAGAAAAAUAAAAAUCGAAUACUCGAAGAUUCAAAAGAAAAAGCACGAAAAAGGACAGUCGGUAAGAAAAUAAAGAAAUAAGAAAAGAAAAUCGAGGAAAUAAAAGAAACCAACACACAAUGUAACAUCGACUCUGAACCAAAAGCCCCUUGUUUUCCUUUUUUUUUGAAUUCAUACCCUAAACCAAGCCAAGCUACAACCCAAAAGACCUCAAAAGUGUGUGUGUUAUGUGUAAGUGAUGAGAAAAGAGAGACUAUUCAAACUUGUGAGUGAUAUUGCAUACUUUGAAUUAUGAGUGUAAA
RNAcentral lists this long non-coding RNA (373 nucleotides) under Lathyrus oleraceus (garden pea). Its description in RNAcentral is "Pisum sativum (pea) long non-coding RNA (PSAT_LNC008408)". The record is from RNAcentral. Lineage: Eukaryota; Viridiplantae; Streptophyta; Magnoliopsida; Fabales; Fabaceae.